RNAcentral lists this ribosomal RNA (2903 nucleotides) under Klebsiella pneumoniae subsp. ozaenae. Its description in RNAcentral is "bacterial LSU rRNA". It matches the Rfam family "Bacterial large subunit ribosomal RNA". Lineage: Bacteria; Pseudomonadati; Pseudomonadota; Gammaproteobacteria; Enterobacterales; Enterobacteriaceae. The record is from RNAcentral.
UUAAGCGACUAAGCGUACACGGUGGAUGCCCUGGCAGUCAGAGGCGAUGAAGGACGUGCUAAUCUGCGAAAAGCGUCGGUAAGGUGAUAUGAACCGUUAUAACCGGCGAUGUCCGAAUGGGGAAACCCAGUGCAAUUCGUUGCACUAUCGUUAACUGAAUACAUAGGUUAACGAGGCGAACCGGGGGAACUGAAACAUCUAAGUACCCCGAGGAAAAGAAAUCAACCGAGAUUCCCCCAGUAGCGGCGAGCGAACGGGGAGCAGCCCAGAGUCUGAAUCAGCUUGUGUGUUAGUGGAACGGUCUGGAAAGUCCGACGGUACAGGGUGAUAGUCCCGUACACCAAAAUGCACAGGCUGUGAACUCGAAGAGUAGGGGCGGGACACGUGGUAUCCUGUCUGAAUAUGGGGGGACCAUCCUCCAAGGCUAAAUACUCCUGACUGACCGAUAGUGAACCAGUACCGUGAGGGAAAGGCGAAAAGAACCCCGGCGAGGGGAGUGAAAAAGAACCUGAAACCGUGUACGUACAAGCAGUGGGAGCACCUUCGGGUGUGACUGCGUACCUUUUGUAUAAUGGGUCAGCGACUUAUAUUCUGUAGCAAGGUUAACCGUAUAGGGGAGCCGCAGGGAAACCGAGUCUUAACUGGGCGUUAAGUUGCAGGGUAUAGACCCGAAACCCGGUGAUCUAGCCAUGGGCAGGUUGAAGGUUGGGUAACACUAACUGGAGGACCGAACCGACUAAUGUUGAAAAAUUAGCGGAUGACUUGUGGCUGGGGGUGAAAGGCCAAUCAAACCGGGAGAUAGCUGGUUCUCCCCGAAAGCUAUUUAGGUAGCGCCUCGUGAAUUCAUCUUCGGGGGUAGAGCACUGUUUCGGCUAGGGGGUCAUCCCGACUUACCAACCCGAUGCAAACUACGAAUACCGAAGAAUGUUAUCACGGGAGACACACGGCGGGUGCUAACGUCCGUCGUGAAGAGGGAAACAACCCAGACCGCCAGCUAAGGUCCCAAAGUCAUGGUUAAGUGGGAAACGAUGUGGGAAGGCACAGACAGCCAGGAUGUUGGCUUAGAAGCAGCCAUCAUUUAAAGAAAGCGUAAUAGCUCACUGGUCGAGUCGGCCUGCGCGGAAGAUGUAACGGGGCUAAACCAUGCACCGAAGCUGCGGCAGCGACACUAUGUGUUGUUGGGUAGGGGGAGCGUUCUGUAAGCCUGCGAAGGUGACCUGUGAGGGUUGCUGGAGGUAUCAGAAGUGCGAAUGCUGACAUAAGUAACGAUAAAGCGGGUGAAAAGCCCGCUCGCCGGAAGACCAAGGGUUCCUGUCCAACGUUAAUCGGGGGCAGGGUGAGUCGACCCCUAAGGCGAGGCCGAAAGGCGUAGUCGAUGGGAAACAGGUUAAUAUUCCUGUACUUGGUGUUACUGCGAAGGGGGGACGGAGAAGGCUAUGUUAGCCGGGCGACGGUUGUCCCGGUUUAAGCAUGUAGGCUGGUUAUCCAGGCAAAUCCGGAUAAUCAAGGCUGAGGUGUGAUGACGAGGCACUACGGUGCUGAAGUAACAAAUGCCCUGCUUCCAGGAAAAGCCUCUAAGCAUCAGGUAACAUCAAAUCGUACCCCAAACCGACACAGGUGGUCAGGUAGAGAAUACCAAGGCGCUUGAGAGAACUCGGGUGAAGGAACUAGGCAAAAUGGUGCCGUAACUUCGGGAGAAGGCACGCUGGUGUGUAGGUGAAGCCCCUGCGGGUGGAGCUGAGACCAGUCGAAGAUACCAGCUGGCUGCAACUGUUUAUUAAAAACACAGCACUGUGCAAACACGAAAGUGGACGUAUACGGUGUGACGCCUGCCCGGUGCCGGAAGGUUAAUUGAUGGGGUUAUCCGUAAGGAGAAGCUCUUGAUCGAAGCCCCGGUAAACGGCGGCCGUAACUAUAACGGUCCUAAGGUAGCGAAAUUCCUUGUCGGGUAAGUUCCGACCUGCACGAAUGGCGUAAUGAUGGCCAGGCUGUCUCCACCCGAGACUCAGUGAAAUUGAACUCGCUGUGAAGAUGCAGUGUACCCGCGGCAAGACGGAAAGACCCCGUGAACCUUUACUAUAGCUUGACACUGAACAUUGAGCCUUGAUGUGUAGGAUAGGUGGGAGGCUUUGAAGCGUGGACGCCAGUCUGCGUGGAGCCAACCUUGAAAUACCACCCUUUAAUGUUUGAUGUUCUAACGUUGGCCCCUGACCGGGGUUGCGGACAGUGUCUGGUGGGUAGUUUGACUGGGGCGGUCUCCUCCCAAAGCGUAACGGAGGAGCACGAAGGUUAGCUAAUCCUGGUCGGACAUCAGGAGGUUAGUGCAAUGGCAUAAGCUAGCUUGACUGCGAGCGUGACGGCGCGAGCAGGUGCGAAAGCAGGUCAUAGUGAUCCGGUGGUUCUGAAUGGAAGGGCCAUCGCUCAACGGAUAAAAGGUACUCCGGGGAUAACAGGCUGAUACCGCCCAAGAGUUCAUAUCGACGGCGGUGUUUGGCACCUCGAUGUCGGCUCAUCACAUCCUGGGGCUGAAGUAGGUCCCAAGGGUAUGGCUGUUCGCCAUUUAAAGUGGUACGCGAGCUGGGUUUAGAACGUCGUGAGACAGUUCGGUCCCUAUCUGCCGUGGGCGCUGGAGAAUUGAGGGGGGCUGCUCCUAGUACGAGAGGACCGGAGUGGACGCAUCACUGGUGUUCGGGUUGUCAUGCCAAUGGCACUGCCCGGUAGCUAAAUGCGGAAGAGAUAAGUGCUGAAAGCAUCUAAGCACGAAACUUGCCCCGAGAUGAGUUCUCCCUGAGACUAUAAGUCUCCUGAAGGAACGUUAAAGACGAUGACGUUGAUAGGCCGGGUGUGUAAGCGCAGCGAUGCGUUGAGCUAACCGGUACUAAUGAACCGUGAGGCUUAACCUU